CCGGCUAACUACGUGCCAGCAGCCGCGGUAAUACGUAGGGUGCGAGCGUUAAUCGGAAUUACUGGGCGUAAAGCGUGCGCAGGCGGUUCUCCAAGUCCGUUGUGAAAGCCCCGGGCUCAACCUGGGAAUGGCAGUGGAAACUAGGGGACUGGAAUCUGGCAGAGGGGGGUGGAAUGCCGCGUGUAGCAGUGAAAUGCGUAGAGAUGCGGCGGAACACCGAUGGCGAAGGCAGCCCCCUGGGCUGAGAUUGACGCUCAGGCACGAAAGCGUGGGGAGCAAACAGGAUUAGAUACCCUGGUAGUCCACGCCCUAAACGAUGGCAACUAGGUGUUGGGGAAGCGAUUUCCUGGUACCGCAGCUAACGCGUGAAGUUGCCCGCCUGGGGAGUACGGUCGCAAGAUUAAAACUCAAAGGAAUUGACGGGGACCCGCACAAGCGGUGGAUGAUGUGGAUUAAUUCGAUGCAACGCGAAUAACCUUACCUACCCUUGACAUGUACGGAACCCUGCAGAGAUGUGGGGGUGCUUGAAAGAGAGCCGUAACACAGGUGCU
This 551-nucleotide ribosomal RNA is filed under the name uncultured beta proteobacterium. RNAcentral's name for it is "bacterial SSU rRNA". It matches the Rfam family "Bacterial small subunit ribosomal RNA", at positions 493 to 1042 of the family's 1533-position model. Lineage: Bacteria; Pseudomonadati; Pseudomonadota; Betaproteobacteria. The record is from RNAcentral.